UUGCUUGUAUAUAGGAUUGACUCAUGCAAAAGCAAUUUAAUUACAAGUGCAUAUAAACUUCAGGCAUCAUUGACGCAUCCAAGUAGAUUAUGAAUUGAGAUCCAUUGGAUCCUAUGAUACAUGAUAUGCUUGACUCAAAAGCGGUAGCUAAAGCAUAUUGGAUGGCAAUCCACGAUGAUCCUCAUCAUGAUCCAUGAUAUAUGAAACAAAUGUCGAAAUAUAAACAAUGUCGAAAUAUGCC
Molecule: long non-coding RNA, 241 nt
Filed under: Elaeis guineensis (African oil palm)
Lineage: Eukaryota; Viridiplantae; Streptophyta; Magnoliopsida; Arecales; Arecaceae
Description: long non-coding RNA (EGUI_LNC025183)
Source: RNAcentral